UCCUCCCCUGGGCAGCCUCCACUGAUGCAGAGACAGAGCAAGAGAUAUGUGUCCUACCUGAACUCCAAUACAAAGACAUUCUGAGCCUCAGGGCCCUGAGGCUCUCCCAUGCUAAUAAGGGAGGAGUGGAGUAAGACUCUAUGACGCAGUGUAAUAUUGUGAUUAUAUAAAUAGAUCGCCUUCACACUACAACAGAGAGGUCACACUGAGGAUUGUGUUAUUGAUCGUACCCAAUUUACCAACUAGCCGAACAUUUGUUGAAGACCGUUUAUUCGCCACGGACACAAGACGUGUUACGGUUCUCAGUUCUCUAACUAACCUGGGGAUGUCCUUUCCGAUGGAUCGCACGAGGUCUCCCUAAAUGAACGUUUUGAGUUAUUCAUUGCUUCCUUUUUACAGCACAUGACGUCUGUGGAUCACAUGAAGGAGGACAAGUGAAAAGAAAGUCCAGGAUGGCCAGAUCAAAGGAAAGAACGGAGGGAGAGAUGGAGGAGAAGGUGACAAGUGACAGCGAAGAGGGAGGGGAAGAUUACUACAGAACAGAAGGAGAACGGAUGAAGAAAGCAAAAGCCGGCAUUGUGGCAAGAUUAUCAGCAAGAGAGGAGAAAACAGAGAGGAGUAAGGUGGUGAUGGACAGAAAGGAACAGGAAAUGAAGGAGGUGAUGAUGAAGGAAAAGUGGGAGAAGUUACACGAACACAAAGAGAUGGGAUUGGAAGUGGUCAGAGAAGAGAAAGAGCAGUUACAGGAAGAGAAAGAGAGGAUUCAGAAGGAGAUGGAGAACAUUUUAAAAACGAGAAAAAGCAGAUUUGCGAGAGAACUGUGAUUUGAGGAGACCGAGUGCAGGUGGUGUCGUAAAGACAGCUGUUGGAGGAAGAGGAGCUCAGGGAGGAGAGGUUGGAGAUGAAGGAAGCUGGUGAGCACAUUGAGAAGGAGCUAAUGGAGAUGCUACUUGAAAAGGGGGAGAUGCUCAAGGAGAGAGAGAGAAGUUUAAAGAAAAGAGGAAGAUGGAGGAGAAAAAGAUGAAGGAAAGGAAGAUCAUUGACUUGGCACGUAUGUUUAUGAGUGAAGUGUUAAAGGCCAUCGGAAAACAAUGGGAAAAGAUAGAAAAAGAAAGGGGGCAAUUGAGGAGGGAGAAAGAAAGGAUGCUUAAAGAGAAGGAGACAAUAAAGGAGAUGAGCAAGGAGGAAGAGGGGCAAGAGGAGGAGAGGGCGAGGAGGAGAGUGAUACGAGUUAGUCAUCGCUCAUUCUACUGAACCGCAACAUUAAAAACAUGACUUACAGCAUUAAACAAACGCAGCAUGAAACUCCUUAACCUUCCACUAUUUUUGUUAACAUCCUUAAUAGCCAGCUCUAGUUCAAUGUUAAGUUAACAGUAGAUUCUUAUCAUGAAGAAAUACUACUUUAUUAUUGUGGACUGAACUACAGCCUGUUAGCUGCUCUCCCUGUUUUCUGGAUUACAAUGCUUCAGAGAUACAGUUGCCUGGAAUUUGAGGACUUCCAAUGGCGGCCUUUGUUAUUGGUUGAGGUGUGUAAAAGUGGUGACAGGCUGUACCAUAAGCUACAUUCCACAGAGUUACUGAAGAGAGAGGCUUGAGGACUCUGUGGCUGGUACAGUGUGGGUCAGGUGGGGUGAGGUUAGGGAGUACAUUGUAUUAAAUCACUGCUCUGAGUUGCCCUUAAUUAAGCGUAGAUCUAGAAUCAGUUUACGCUCCCUUAAUCCAGUAUAUGUUAGCACGUAUUACAGUGCACACGACUGACCUUAGAUCAGCAAAUGACUAUAGAGAGCAGUGUUAAGCAGGACUUAAGUGUUAGGAGUGGCACUUUUAUGUGGAUACUUCCUCCUACACCUUAAAAUAGAAAUGUUGCUUAUAGCCCAAUAAUUAUUCACAGUGUGGGUAUCCAGUUAUGUCUUCCCAAAAUGGGCGUCAACAUGUCUGCAGGCCAAUCACCCCAAUAGGAGGUUGAUGGUCAAAUUUAGGAAUGCUUAAAAUGUAUAUUUUCAGGCGAUGGAGUAUGUAGGCUAUACACUGAACAUUUGUUAUUUAGUGUAUCCAGUUGAAUGGAUGCAACACUUGCUUACAACUGAAAACGUUUGAGAUACGAAGCAAUCUAUUUUGAUCAUUUGUGUCUUGUGAGGCUCCGCUGUAAUACUGUAAUAUCUGCUGUAAUACAGCAAGAUUCCAGUGGUAUGUGGUACAUAUGUGUCACGCCCUGAUCUGUUUUCACCUGUCUUUGUGAUUGUUUCCACCCACCUCCAGGUGUCACCUGUUUUCCCCAUUUAUUUCCAGGGCAUUUAUUCCUGUGUUCUCUGUUUGCCCGUUGCCAGUUCGUCUUGUCAAAUCAACCAGCGUGUUUUUCCGUGCUCCUGGUUUUGACCUUGAGCCUGCCUGCCUCCCUGUACCGUUUGGAACUCUGACCUGGCUAAUGAACUUUUGCCUGUCCUCGACCUGCCUCUUGCCUGCCCCUUGUUGUUUAAUAAAUAUCAGAGACUCGA
Molecule: non-coding RNA, 2495 nt
Organism: Salmo salar (Atlantic salmon)
Lineage: Eukaryota; Metazoa; Chordata; Actinopteri; Salmoniformes; Salmonidae
Source: RefSeq, a predicted model, not a curated record